RNAcentral lists this non-coding RNA (183 nucleotides) under Desulfosporosinus orientis. Lineage: Bacteria; Bacillati; Bacillota; Clostridia; Eubacteriales; Desulfitobacteriaceae. The record is from RNAcentral. RNAcentral also lists the same sequence under 1 other name.
ACUUAAUAGUAUCCAACGAGUCAUACUUUUCUCAGAAAGUACUGAACAGGGAAGUCAGUUAAUCUGACGCGGUCCCGCCACUGUGAUAGUGAGCAGUCUUACACGAUGUCACUGGAUUACCAGGAAGGUGUAAGGUGGCGAUGAACUUAAGCCAGGAGACCUUGCUCGUUAGGGAUUAAACAG